RNAcentral lists this ribosomal RNA (2237 nucleotides) under Escherichia coli. RNAcentral's name for it is "partial 23S ribosomal RNA". It matches the Rfam family "Bacterial large subunit ribosomal RNA", at positions 728 to 2925 of the family's 2925-position model. The record is from RNAcentral. Lineage: Bacteria; Pseudomonadati; Pseudomonadota; Gammaproteobacteria; Enterobacterales; Enterobacteriaceae.
AUCUAGCCAUGGGCAGGUUGAAGGUUGGGUAACACUAACUGGAGGACCGAACCGACUAAUGUUGAAAAAUUAGCGGAUGACUUGUGGCUGGGGGUGAAAGGCCAAUCAAACCGGGAGAUAGCUGGUUCUCCCCGAAAGCUAUUUAGGUAGCGCCUCGUGAAUUCAUCUCCGGGGGUAGAGCACUGUUUCGGCAAGGGGGUCAUCCCGACUUACCAACCCGAUGCAAACUGCGAAUACCGGAGAAUGUUAUCACGGGAGACACACGGCGGGUGCUAACGUCCGUCGUGAAGAGGGAAACAACCCAGACCGCCAGCUAAGGUCCCAAAGUCAUGGUUAAGUGGGAAACGAUGUGGGAAGGCCCAGACAGCCAGGAUGUUGGCUUAGAAGCAGCCAUCAUUUAAAGAAAGCGUAAUAGCUCACUGGUCGAGUCGGCCUGCGCGGAAGAUGUAACGGGGCUAAACCAUGCACCGAAGCUGCGGCAGCGACACUGUGUGUUGUUGGGUAGGGGAGCGUUCUGUAAGCCUGUGAAGGUGUGCUGUGAGGCAUGCUGGAGGUAUCAGAAGUGCGAAUGCUGACAUAAGUAACGAUAAAGCGGGUGAAAAGCCCGCUCGCCGGAAGACCAAGGGUUCCUGUCCAACGUUAAUCGGGGCAGGGUGAGUCGACCCCUAAGGCGAGGCCGAAAGGCGUAGUCGAUGGGAAACAGGUUAAUAUUCCUGUACUUGGUGUUACUGCGAAGGGGGGACGGAGAAGGCUAUGUUGGCCGGGCGACGGUUGUCCCGGUUUAAGCGUGUAGGCUGGUUUUCCAGGCAAAUCCGGAAAAUCAAGGCUGAGGCGUGAUGACGAGGCACUACGGUGCUGAAGCAACAAAUGCCCUGCUUCCAGGAAAAGCCUCUAAGCAUCAGGUAACAUCAAAUCGUACCCCAAACCGACACAGGUGGUCAGGUAGAGAAUACCAAGGCGCUUGAGAGAACUCGGGUGAAGGAACUAGGCAAAAUGGUGCCGUAACUUCGGGAGAAGGCACGCUGAUAUGUAGGUGAAGUCCCUCGCGGAUGGAGCUGAAAUCAGUCGAAGAUACCAGCUGGCUGCAACUGUUUAUUAAAAACACAGCACUGUGCAAACACGAAAGUGGACGUAUACGGUGUGACGCCUGCCCGGUGCCGGAAGGUUAAUUGAUGGGGUCAGCGCAAGCGAAGCUCUUGAUCGAAGCCCCGGUAAACGGCGGCCGUAACUAUAACGGUCCUAAGGUAGCGAAAUUCCUUGUCGGGUAAGUUCCGACCUGCACGAAUGGCGUAAUGAUGGCCAGGCUGUCUCCACCCGAGACUCAGUGAAAUUGAACUCGCUGUGAAGAUGCAGUGUACCCGCGGCAAGACGGAAAGACCCCGUGAACCUUUACUAUAGCUUGACACUGAACAUUGAGCCUUGAUGUGUAGGAUAGGUGGGAGGCUUUGAAGUGUGGACGCCAGUCUGCAUGGAGCCGACCUUGAAAUACCACCCUUUAAUGUUUGAUGUUCUAACGUGGACCCGUGAUCCGGGUUGCGGACAGUGUCUGGUGGGUAGUUUGACUGGGGCGGUCUCCUCCUAAAGAGUAACGGAGGAGCACGAAGGUUGGCUAAUCCUGGUCGGACAUCAGGAGGUUAGUGCAAUGGCAUAAGCCAGCUUGACUGCGAGCGUGACGGCGCGAGCAGGUGCGAAAGCAGGUCAUAGUGAUCCGGUGGUUCUGAAUGGAAGGGCCAUCGCUCAACGGAUAAAAGGUACUCCGGGGAUAACAGGCUGAUACCGCCCAAGAGUUCAUAUCGACGGCGGUGUUUGGCACCUCGAUGUCGGCUCAUCACAUCCUGGGGCUGAAGUAGGUCCCAAGGGUAUGGCUGUUCGCCAUUUAAAGUGGUACGCGAGCUGGGUUUAGAACGUCGUGAGACAGUUCGGUCCCUAUCUGCCGUGGGCGCUGGAGAACUGAGGGGGGCUGCUCCUAGUACGAGAGGACCGGAGUGGACGCAUCACUGGUGUUCGGGUUGUCAUGCCAAUGGCACUGCCCGGUAGCUAAAUGCGGAAGAGAUAAGUGCUGAAAGCAUCUAAGCACGAAACUUGCCCCGAGAUGAGUUCUCCCUGACCCUUUAAGGGUCCUGAAGGAACGUUGAAGACGACGACGUUGAUAGGCCGGGUGUGUAAGCGCAGCGAUGCGUUGAGCUAACCGGUACUAAUGAACCGUGAGGCUUAACCUUACAACGCCGAAGGUGUUU